This 73-nucleotide transfer RNA is filed under the name Vicugna pacos (alpaca). RNAcentral describes it as "tRNA-Ala (AGC) (tRNA-Ala-AGC-275-1)". It matches the Rfam family "tRNA". Rfam says of the family: Transfer RNA (tRNA) molecules are approximately 80 nucleotides in length. Their secondary structure includes four short double-helical elements and three loops (D, anti-codon, and T loops). The record is from RNAcentral. Lineage: Eukaryota; Metazoa; Chordata; Mammalia; Artiodactyla; Camelidae.
GGAGGGUAUAGCUCAGUGGUAGAGCGUGUGCUUAGCAUGCACAAAGUCCUGGGUUCAAUCCCCAGUGCCUCCA